Molecule: long non-coding RNA, 465 nt
Filed under: Capsella rubella
Lineage: Eukaryota; Viridiplantae; Streptophyta; Magnoliopsida; Brassicales; Brassicaceae
Description: long non-coding RNA (CRUB_LNC003697)
Source: RNAcentral
GUAAUUUCACGAACGUGAUGAAAAAGGUAAUACGACAAAAGUAAAUAUAUAGUCCAAAACGAUCAUCAUCAUUGCUCGAGUUGAUCAAACGAUAUAAUUGAUUUAGAUCUCGACCGUCAUUAUUUUUUUUUAAAUUUUUUUUUGGUUUGUAAAACAUAUUUGUGAACACACACAGUACUCUCUCGUAUGUGCUCUCAACUAUUCCUGUCGCCUCAUUUAGACAUUUAUCUCACAAUUCUUCUGUAUAAGUCAACCUCUGAGUGAUUUAAUCGUUUACACGUUCUGUGUUUUUGCUUUUUUUUUUUUUUUUUUAAUUCUUUUGACUUUGCUUAUUUUACUUUUUAGUUAUAGAUAUUAUUAACCGGAGUAUUUGUAUAUAUAUUUCUAGGUUUGCUAAAACUAAGUUAUAUAGGUAUCACCAAUUAAUCAAAAAUUAUAAUGGCUAUUGGAUUUACUGACUUAUAA